This 487-nucleotide ribosomal RNA is filed under the name uncultured bacterium. Its description in RNAcentral is "bacterial SSU rRNA". It matches the Rfam family "Bacterial small subunit ribosomal RNA", at positions 21 to 507 of the family's 1533-position model. The record is from RNAcentral.
GGCUCAGAUUGAACGCUGGCGGCAUGCCUUACACAUGCAAGUCGAACGGCAGCGGACCUUCGGGUGCCGGCGAGUGGCGAACGGGUGAGUAAUAUAUCGGAACGUACCUUCAGUGGGGAUAACGUAGCGAAAGUUACGCUAAUACCGCAUAUUCUGUGAGCAGGAAAGCAGGGGAUCGCAAGACCUUGCGCUGAUUGAGCGGCCGAUAUCAGAUUAGCUAGUUGGUGAGGUAAAGGCUCACCAAGGCGACGAUCUGUAGCGGGUCUGAGAGGAUGAUCCGCCACACUGGAACUGAGACACGGUCCAGACUCCUACGGGAGGCAGCAGUGGGGAAUUUUGGACAAUGGGCGCAAGCCUGAUCCAGCCAUGCCGCGUGAGUGAAGAAGGCCUUCGGGUUGUAAAGCUCUUUCGGCCGGGAAGAAAUCGCACAGGUUAAUACCCUGUGUGGAUGACGGUACCGGAAUAAGAAGCACCGGCUAACUACGUG